This is an RNA transcript of Dendroctonus ponderosae (mountain pine beetle), 836 nucleotides long. It is a transcript of the gene named leucine-rich repeat-containing protein 51-like, with no coding region annotated. Lineage: Eukaryota; Metazoa; Arthropoda; Insecta; Coleoptera; Curculionidae. The record is from RefSeq and is a predicted model, not a curated record. The transcript is spliced from 5 exons.
UAUUGUCUAUUUUUAAAUUGACAACGCAGUCAAAUAAAGCAGCUUUUGCUCUUUAUUUAUUUGUUUUUUUAUAUAAUGAGCAUAUCACCCGGUGCACCAGCAGAUUUUUCCUUCAAUGGGAUUCGGCACUUGGAUUCCGAAAAAUUUCUCUCAGGAACAUUGAAAAGAUCGCAGUCAGGCAUACGAAAAUCAUUUUCAGAGCUUUUUCUGUUAUUAGAAUUGCACACAUUUGUCAUGCAAUAAAGUCCAAGCCAUUGGUCUGGAAGGAGUCCGGUACACUCGAGUGGGUGGCGUUCCGGAUAGAGGCCCGGAAAAGCGAUUUCUUACAAAAUCGCUCUGGUUGAACAACAAUAAACUGAAGAGUACGAGAAAUAUUCACGAGUUGGUAAAUGCCACAAUCGAGUAUCCGGCCCAACUUGGAUGGAUAGAUUUCUCGUUUAAUUACAUAACCGAAAUUGAAGAACAGAGCCUGCUGAAGUUUCCAAAGCUAACCAUAUUGUACUUUCAUGGAAACUGUAUCAACGACUUGAACGAAGUGUAUAAAUUGCGGCCGCUAACAGAAUUGCGAAGUGUAACAUUUCAUGGCAAUCCAAUAGCGAAUCAUCCUCGAUACAGAAACUACGUGGUCUCUGUUCUACCUCAAAUAGUAAAUUUAGAUUUCACACCCAUUGUUAAAACCGAGAAAUUGUUCGCCAUGCCGCCGGAGGUUAUAAAGAAGUUUAAAGAAGAAAAAGAAAAACAGAAGGCGGAGACUGAGAAGCGCAAACCACAACCUGCUGAAGUAAAUCCUUGAUCUCAUCUGUAUUUUACUUAUAUCAUUAAAGUCCUUAUUCUAA